RNAcentral lists this small nucleolar RNA (85 nucleotides) under Cyanoderma ruficeps (rufous-capped babbler). RNAcentral describes it as "Small nucleolar RNA snR60/Z15/Z230/Z193/J17 (ENSCRFG00000009267.1)". It matches the Rfam family "Small nucleolar RNA snR60/Z15/Z230/Z193/J17". Rfam says of the family: The members of this family belong to the C/D class of snoRNAs which contain the C (UGAUGA) and D (CUGA) box motifs. Most of the members of the box C/D family function in directing site-specific 2'-O-methylation of substrate RNAs. The record is from Rfam by way of RNAcentral. Lineage: Eukaryota; Metazoa; Chordata; Aves; Passeriformes; Timaliidae.
AAGGCUGUUGUGAUGACUGCAUAGUUCAGCUGAUGACCUGUGACGAUCACAGUUACUGUCUUUUGCCCCUGUCUGAUGCAGCCUC